RNAcentral lists this small RNA (27 nucleotides) under Bombyx mori (domestic silkworm). RNAcentral describes it as "ovarian small RNA-27087". Lineage: Eukaryota; Metazoa; Arthropoda; Insecta; Lepidoptera; Bombycidae. The record is from RNAcentral.
UCCAUUCUUGUCUCUGGCGGUGUGGAU